GACGAACGCUAGCGGCGUGCUUAACACAUGCAAGUCGAACGAUGAACCCGGAGCUUGCUCCGGCGGAUUAGUGGCGAACGGGUGAGUAACACGUGAGUAACCUGCCCUUGACUCUGGGAUAACUGCUAGAAAUGGUAGCUAAUACCGGAUACGACCCGCGGUGGCCUCACCAGGGGGUGGAAAGAAUUUCGGCCAAGGAUGGACACGCGGCAAAUCAGCUAGGUGGUGAGGUAAGGGCUCACCAAGGCGACGACGGGUAGGCGGCCUGAGAGGGUGACCGGCCACACUGGGACUGAGACACGGCCCAGACUCCUACGGGAGGCAGCAGUGGGGAAUAUUGCACAAUGGGCGCAAGCCUGAUGCAGCAACGCCGCGUGAGGGAUGACGGCCUUCGGGUUGUAAACCUCUUUUAGUAGGGAAGAAGCGAAAGUGACGGUACCUGCAGAAAAAGUACCGGCUAACUACGUGCCAGCCGCCGCCGUAA
Molecule: ribosomal RNA, 484 nt
Filed under: uncultured bacterium
Lineage: Bacteria
Description: partial 16S ribosomal RNA
Rfam family: Bacterial small subunit ribosomal RNA
Source: RNAcentral